RNAcentral lists this ribosomal RNA (464 nucleotides) under uncultured bacterium. Its description in RNAcentral is "bacterial SSU rRNA". It matches the Rfam family "Bacterial small subunit ribosomal RNA", at positions 30 to 491 of the family's 1533-position model. The record is from RNAcentral.
AUUGAACGCUGGCGGAAUGCUUUACACAUGCAAGUCGAACGGCAGCACGGGGCAACCUGGUGGCGAGUGGCGAACGGGUGAGUAAUACAUCGGAACGUGCCCAAUCGUGGGGGAUAACGUAGCGAAAGUUACGCUAAUACCGCAUACGAUCUACGGAUGAAAGCGGGGGAUCGCAAGACCUCGCGCGAAUGGAGCGGCCGAUGUCAGAUUAGGUAGUUGGUGGGGUAAAGGCUCACCAAGCCAACGAUCUGUAGCUGGUCUGAGAGGACGACCAGCCACACUGGAACUGAGACACGGUCCAGACUCCUACGGGAGGCAGCAGUGGGGAAUUUUGGACAAUGGGUGCAAGCCUGAUCCAGCCAUUCCGCGUGCAGGAUGAAGGCCUCGGUUGUAACUGCUUUGUUACGGAACGAAACGGACGAGCUCUAAUACAGUUUGCUAAUGACGGUACCGUAAGAAUAAGA